This 82-nucleotide transfer RNA is filed under the name Elusimicrobiota bacterium. RNAcentral describes it as "Elusimicrobia bacterium (anaerobic digester metagenome) tRNA-Leu". It matches the Rfam family "tRNA". From Rfam's summary of the family: Transfer RNA (tRNA) molecules are approximately 80 nucleotides in length. Lineage: Bacteria; Pseudomonadati; Elusimicrobiota. RNAcentral also lists the same sequence under 1 other name. The record is from RNAcentral.
GCCCUCGUGGCGGAACUGGCAGACGCGCAUGGCUUAGGACCAUGUCCUUAACGGGGUGCAGGUUCGAGCCCUGCCGAGGGCA